GAUGAACGCUGGCGGCGUGCCUAAUACAUGCAAGUCGAGCGAACAGACGAGGAGCUUGCUCCUCUGACGUUAGCGGCGGACGGGUGAGUAACACGUGGAUAACCUACCUAUAAGACUGGGAUAACUUCGGGAAACCGGAGCUAAUACCGGAUAAUAUAUUGAACCGCAUGGUUCAAUAGUGAAAGACGGUUUUGCUGUCACUUAUAGAUGGAUCCGCGCCGCAUUAGCUAGUUGGUAAGGUAACGGCUUACCAAGGCAACGAUGCGUAGCCGACCUGGAAGGGUGAUCGGCCACACUGAAACUGAAAAACGGUCCAGACUCCGACGGGAGGCAGCAGUAGGGAUACUGCCGCAAUGGGCGAAAGCCUGACGGAGCAACGCGGCGGGAGUGAGGAAGGUCUUCGGAUCGUAAAACUCUGUUAUUAGGGAAGAACAAAUGUGUAAGUAACUAUGCACGUCUUGACGGUACCGAAGCAGAAAGCCACGGCUAAUUACGG
RNAcentral lists this ribosomal RNA (496 nucleotides) under uncultured bacterium. RNAcentral's name for it is "partial 16S ribosomal RNA". It matches the Rfam family "Bacterial small subunit ribosomal RNA", at positions 28 to 506 of the family's 1533-position model. The record is from RNAcentral.